Molecule: small RNA, 726 nt
Filed under: Pongo abelii (Sumatran orangutan)
Lineage: Eukaryota; Metazoa; Chordata; Mammalia; Primates; Hominidae
Description: processed transcript
Source: RNAcentral
CAGCUCCGCAGAUUACCACCUUAUUGGCCGCCUUUCUCAGCUUGUCUGUAGUUACCCAUAUUUUGUUCCUCUUUCUUGUCUAUUUUAUGUGUUUCUCUGCCUUCCCUCUCGCUGUUUUCUCACGUCUCCAUUUUCUUCCUCCUUCCUGCCACCAUUCUUGAUGUUCUUCCGACAGGACUUGAACUGCCAUGUCCUCUGAAGAAGGAAAGCUCUUCGUGGGAGGGCUCAACUUUAACACCGACGAGCAGGCACUGGAAGACCACUUCAGCAGUUUCGGACCUAUCUCUGAGGUGGUCGUUGUCAAGGACCGGGAGACUCAGCGGUCCAGGGGUUUUGGUUUCAUCACCUUCACCAACCCAGAGCAUGCUUCAGUUGCCAUGAGAGCCAUGAACGGAGAGGUGGGGCCUCCUAUCUGCAGAGGGACCUUGCCCCCAUCUGCGGCUUCCUUCAUUCUUUUUGUUUUUCCCUCUGUGUCUGCUCGGGGCAGCGUGGCCACCAAGCCCCGCAGUGCCCACUCACAGGAGCAUGACUGCCUUUUGUUCUAGGGGGUGGAGGGCAGCGGCAGACAGAGCCUGGCCGCCUGGGAGGCGACGACUGGUCCUGCAUGAGGCCGAGAAGCCACCUGUGGAUGGUUGACCUGCCUUGGGCUUAGGUAGUAGAGUCUGCAGACCUGUGGGCCUGGCCCGGAGAGGACCUCGUGAGUCUUCUGACAUGGACUCUGAAGCC